Molecule: ribosomal RNA, 711 nt
Filed under: Triticum aestivum (bread wheat)
Lineage: Eukaryota; Viridiplantae; Streptophyta; Magnoliopsida; Poales; Poaceae
Description: partial small subunit ribosomal RNA
Source: RNAcentral
AUGGAGAGACUUGUUAAUGUUCAUUACAUGGACAAGGAGGCAUUCUUGAGUAACAAUGCUGACACGGGUGAGGAACCAUUGGUUUCUGAUACAAGCCCUAGCUAUGAGGAUGUUGUUGCACAAGUGAGACAAGUCUUGAAGUGGAUGGACACCAAUGUUGAUGUUAAAUUAAUAGGAAGGUAUGAUGUUGGAGUUGGAGCCAAAUCUCGCUUGAAAAGUAUGCCUAUCACCUCGGAUUUGCAUUGGGAUGUAUACAAGGAAAAAGUAUCCCAAUCGGAAGACAAGUCACUUGAAUUGUUUGCCACCAAGGUUGAAUCUCCUCAGUUUACCUUUGAUUUGAACCGGCAUGUCUCUUCCCCAAUGGAUGACAUGAGCGUUGAGUUGUAUGCCCCCAAUGCUUCUAGCCAACCACCAACUAGCCAAGCAAAUGAAGUUGAGGUGAUUGCUAGUGACGGAGUAAUUCAAGAGGAUGAAGAUGCUUAUGAUGACGACGAAGAGCAAGAGGAAGGGUUUCAUGGUAAUGAUGUUGGUGACUUGGAUGCGUACAUAGCGCAAAAGGACAUGGAUCGUGACUUGCCUUUUAGGCGUCAAUAUGCGUAUGACUCGGAUGACGAGGGUCCAGUUGAACAGUUGGACGAGGAUGGAUUCACAAAGGACGAGAACCAAAUCCACUUUGAGCUGACGGGCUUACAAAAAAACUCACUUGUUUAA